Long non-coding RNA from Oryza sativa Japonica Group (Japanese rice), 925 nucleotides. RefSeq lists it as uncharacterized. NCBI's taxonomy places the organism in Eukaryota, Viridiplantae, Streptophyta, Magnoliopsida, Poales, Poaceae. The record is from RefSeq and is a predicted model, not a curated record.
UCUAUCCUACCCUAACCGCUCUGCCUUCCUUCUCCACCGAGCGUAGAUUCUCCGCCGCCGCCGCCGGGCAUACUCCUCUCCCCACGCGCGUGACUCCUCCCUUCCCCACCAGCCCGCGCUCGCUUCCUCCCACAUCGCGCGCACCAGGCGUGGGCCCGGCGCCGACUGCUCUCGCUUCCUUCCCCAAUAGCGCGCGUGCGUCAGGCGCGGGUCCUCCCCCGGUCGCUCCUCCAACCCCCUCCUUCCCGGUGCUUCUCCUCCACCCCCGCGCUUCUCCUCCACCUUGCCUCCGGUGCUUCUCCUCCGCCUCCCCCCCCGGCGCUGCCCAAUUUGCCCCACCCCCUGCGCACAGACGUUGCCGCUCCGCCUCCCCCUCCCCGGCGAUUCUUUAUGCAUGCCGUCUUGAUGGCUCACAUUAACGCAGUUACUCCCAGUGUCCGUUACGCGAAAUCAUCAUCAUCAUUCACUUAUUAUAAUGUGCCUUCGAUCCACAAAAGCUCAUGUCAUUCGUCGUUCUCUACCAUCCUUGUUUCAUCCGAGCUUUCACUUCUACAAGGUUGUGUGUUCUCCUACGGGAUCCAUAGAACGGUAUUUCGUGAUGCGUCACCCACAGCCUUCCUCUAGAGUGUAUUUUGCAGCUCCUGUCGAUUUUCGAUCUGCAGAGAUAAUCCCAAUAUGUAGCACUUCCAGCCUUUUUUUACUGUUAAGUUUAUAUUCAGUUCAAGCAAUUCCCAUUGUGUGAAUUCAGUUCAAGCAAUUCCCAUUGUGUGAAUAUACUUCAGUUGUUAUAUUUGGUCUUCAUUAUUGAAUCCCGGGCUUCUCAGAACAUGAACAUAGACUCAAUUGAUCAUCCAGUAACUCUUAAUAAAGCCAUUGGAAAAACAAGACUUUUUACUGUAGGAAUGAAUACUGAUUCAUCUUCUAA